RNAcentral lists this ribosomal RNA (276 nucleotides) under uncultured prokaryote. RNAcentral describes it as "partial 16S ribosomal RNA". It matches the Rfam family "Bacterial small subunit ribosomal RNA", at positions 524 to 798 of the family's 1533-position model. The record is from RNAcentral.
CACGUAGGAGGCAAACGUUAUCCGGAUUUAUUGGGCGUAAAGCGCGUGUAGGUGGUUUUUGUAAGUAGGGCGUGAAAGCUCCUGGCUCAACCCGGAGAGGCCGUUCUAUACUGCAGAGCUAGAGGAUGGUAGAGGGAGGUGGAAUUCCAGGUGUAGCGGUGGAAUGCGCAGAUAUCUGGAGGAACACCAGUGGCGAAGGCGGCCUCCUGGACCAUUCCUGACACUCAGACGCGAAAGCUAGGGUAGCAAACGGGAUUAGAUACCCGCGUAGUCCCU